This 330-nucleotide ribosomal RNA is filed under the name uncultured eukaryote. RNAcentral describes it as "partial 18S ribosomal RNA". It matches the Rfam family "Eukaryotic small subunit ribosomal RNA", at positions 1470 to 1796 of the family's 1831-position model. The record is from RNAcentral.
CCCUUAGAUGUUCUGGGCCGCACGCGCGCUACACUGAUGCGUUCAACGAGUCUAAAACCUGGUCUGAUAGGGCUGGGUAAUCUUUUGAAUGUGCAUCGUGAUUGGGAUAGAUGAUUGCAAUUCUUCAUCUUCAACGAGGAAUGCCUAGUAAACGCAAGUCAUCAGCUUGCAUUGAUUACGUCCCUGCCCUUUGUACACACCGCCCGUCGCUCCUACCGAUUGAAUGUUCCGAUGAAUACCAUGGACUGAGAGUAUGAAUGGGUUCGCCUAUUUCUGCUUCUCGGGAAGUGGAGUAAAUCUUAACAUUUAGAGGAAGGAGAAGUCGUAACA